Molecule: unclassified non-coding RNA, 151 nt
Filed under: soil metagenome
Description: partial internal transcribed spacer 1
Source: RNAcentral
CUGAGUUUUUCAACUCUAAAAACCAUUUGUGAAACAUACCUAUCUUUACUGCUUUGGCGUGGUCCUUCGGGAUUGUGCCGGUAGUAUUUACAAACUCUUUUAAUUUCUAGAGAAUUAUUCAUUGCUGAGUUGCAUUUAACAAAUAGUUUAA